Molecule: ribosomal RNA, 425 nt
Filed under: uncultured bacterium
Lineage: Bacteria
Description: partial 16S ribosomal RNA
Rfam family: Bacterial small subunit ribosomal RNA
Source: RNAcentral
GUGGGGAAUAUUGGACAAUGGGCGCGAGCCUGAUCCAGCCAUGCCGCGUGAGUGAUGAAGGCCUUAGGGUUGUAAAGCUCUUUUGUCCGGGAAGAUAAUGACUGUACCGGAAGAAUAAGCCCCGGCUAACUUCGUGCCAGCAGCCGCGGUAAUACGAAGGGGGCUAGCGUUGUUCGGAAUCACUGGGCGUAAAGCGCACGUAGGCGGACCAUUAAGUCAGGGGUGAAAGCCUGGAGCUCAACGCCAGAGCUGCCUUUGAUACUGAUGGUCUCGAGUAUGGAAGAGGUUGGUGGAACUGCGAGUGUAGAGGUGAAAUUCGUAGAUAUUCGCAAGAACACCGGUGGCGAAGGCGGCCAACUGGUCCAUUACUGACGCUGAGGUGCGACAGCGUGGGGAGCAAACAGGAUUAGAAACCCUGGUAGUCC